UAUCCCUACGGGACGCAGCAGUGGGGAAUAUUGCACAAUGGGGGAAACCCUGAUGCAGCGACGCCGCGUGAGCGAUGAAGUAUUUCGGUAUGUAAAGCUCUAUCAGCAGGGAAGAAAAUGACGGUACCUGACUAAGAAGCCCCGGCUAACUACGUGCCAGCAGCCGCGGUAAUACGUAGGGGGCAAGCGUUAUCCGGAUUUACUGGGUGUAAAGGGAGCGUAGACGGCAGCGCAAGUCUGGAGUGAAAUGCCGGGGCCCAACCCCGGAACUGCUUUGGAAACUGGGCAGCUG
RNAcentral lists this ribosomal RNA (292 nucleotides) under uncultured bacterium. RNAcentral's name for it is "partial 16S ribosomal RNA". It matches the Rfam family "Bacterial small subunit ribosomal RNA", at positions 334 to 643 of the family's 1533-position model. The record is from RNAcentral.